This is a long non-coding RNA of Mustela lutreola (European mink), 515 nucleotides long. RefSeq lists it as uncharacterized. NCBI's taxonomy places the organism in Eukaryota, Metazoa, Chordata, Mammalia, Carnivora, Mustelidae. The transcript is spliced from 3 exons. The record is from RefSeq and is a predicted model, not a curated record.
CGAGUCCUCCCCGGGCCGCGUCUCCUGCCGGGGCGGUGGAGCCCAGCGCAGCUCGCGGGGGUGGGGCGGGGAGGGCGAGGCAGCGGGGACUCGGGCUCGGGACUCCCGGCCUUCGGCUGCAGGGACGCUGCCCUGCCGUCGCGCAGGGUCGGUGCCGCGGGGCCGCGCGGGGAAAGACGCAGCCUCUGAGAUUUCCGACGUAUUUCUCCUUCUACCGGGAGCUGCCGAAGCCCUAAGAAUGAGGCCCGGGGACUGGGGUCGGAACCAGGCAGGGAUUCCGCCCCAGGGGCUGAAAGGAUGCUCCGGGCUCUGGUGCCUGCAGGUGAGAAAACUAAGAUGGUAGAACCAGGAUUCCAACCUGACGUCUGACUCCAGAGCCCGCCUUCUUAAUCGUCCACCGUUCUUCCUCUUGCUGCUAUCACCUCAGUGCUCUCACCUACGGGAUUCUGCGUGCAGUCAUCCAACCGGCCGAUUCGAAAGAGGAACACCAAGGCUUCGUAUUCACAAUUACAUUC